CCGGCAUGCGCUGAAUCACGCCGGCGCAAUUAUUCACUGACCGCUUUGCUGUAAUUUUCGGGAGGAGAGGAGACGUUUGCCAUCAGUGUAUCCAAGAAAGUAAUCGGAUGGUCUCGGAUGUUAAUGCAAUGGAGCAGCAAUUGGCAGACCCUACCUUCCAGAAACAAGUGAAACACUGAAUGACCAAAAAAGCACCACCAC
This is a long non-coding RNA of Sinocyclocheilus anshuiensis, 201 nucleotides long. RefSeq lists it as uncharacterized. The record is from RefSeq and is a predicted model, not a curated record. Lineage: Eukaryota; Metazoa; Chordata; Actinopteri; Cypriniformes; Cyprinidae. The transcript has 3 exons.